UACCUUCGCUUAACCUAUGCAAAACCUUCACAGAUCUAUGAUGAAUAAGCUCGGGGAGUCCUCGAAGAUCGCCUUCGUACUCGCGGUGAUCUUGCACCAAGGAAGUGCCAUAGGGUCCUCUGCCCCGACGGUCCAGCUAUCCAGCAUACCUCUGAUGAUAAUGCCAGGCAUGUCAGUACCUAGCCAUCUCUUGAGCGAGAGCUUCCACAAUUACACUACCCAUCUCCUCACCAGCUCUGCCCACGGGCCGGCUUUUGUGGUGCGCGGGACUUCGAUCGUUGCCGGAAACAUGACUCGCCAGAAACCGAGCAUCUGUCAUUGCAAACUUGAAUGCUGGUUCACGACGUGGUGUGCGGCUGUGUCGAGCACGCCCAGACUGGACGGGACUGUCGACUGCACUUUUUCAGAGAGCUUGCCGACGCAGCUGAUGGCAGAUAUUAAUGCUACUUACUUCGUUUUCCACGAGCGACUGCCAGAGAAUAUUGACGUGUACACCUUCUCCCGGGCGAAGGACAUCUACGCCGUCCCAAAUAAGCGCCUGACCUUCCCUGGUGCCGAGUCCUUCUGCAAGCGCCUGCCUGGAUUCCGUCUGGCUGUUUUUAUCAACAAGGAUGAGACGGAACGGGUCAUGGUGCUCAUGGCGAAGAUAGCUAAACCUGUCAUGGUGGGUCUACGCAGGACCAACAACGGCGGAGAGAUCUGGGAUGACGGAACGCCCUUCCAGGAGUCGACCUAUGGCUGGGCCAACCCGACUAGCGGGAUCUAUGUCGGAAGUUUCCUAGACCAGCCUUUCCUCCAGAUAGCGUACAGCACCCUUCAGAGUAUCGCUCCAACCACGGAGUCCUUCUUCGUAUGCCAGGCCUACCUGUACUAAGGCGCGCAGGGGUGCCUGGUGGAAGAUGGCUGGUUGCCUGACAGUGUCCUGAAUUAGGCCUGUAUUGUCUUGAGGUGGCUUAAUUUUUAGGCCUGUGUUUGAUAGGGGAGGGCUGGGACGCUGAGUAUUAAUGAUAGUAUCCUUAACUAGACCUUUAUUGUAUUGAAGUGGCUUAAUUUGUAGGCCUAUGUGUGCUGUGUUUUGCUUUAAUUGUGUAUAAAGGAGCUUAUAAUUAUUAUUAUAAAGAAAAACAUUAAAAACUGCAGAUUAAUAUAAAGGAACUUGAGAGAGAGAGAGGAGAGAGAGAGAGAGAGAGAGAGAGAGAGAGAGAGAGAGAGAGAAUUACAUUUGACUCCAAAAUUUUAAUGAAUUAUCGUAACUCAGGACGAAACUAACUUUUUUUUUUAAAUAUUCUUGUUAAAUAUCUCAAAUUCUUUUAAUUUCUCAUUGAUAUUUAUUGAAUCUGUAAAAAUUAUAUUGUAACUUUUUCACCAUAUUCAUUUCUGUUCAUUGUAUUUGUCAGAUUUAAAUGGAAAAUAAAAUUAAUAUAAAUAAGUAACUUCCGGU
Molecule: long non-coding RNA, 1441 nt
Organism: Macrobrachium nipponense
Lineage: Eukaryota; Metazoa; Arthropoda; Malacostraca; Decapoda; Palaemonidae
Exons: 4
Source: RefSeq, a predicted model, not a curated record